This is a non-coding RNA of Myotis lucifugus (little brown bat), 399 nucleotides long. Lineage: Eukaryota; Metazoa; Chordata; Mammalia; Chiroptera; Vespertilionidae. The record is from the annotation of a RefSeq genome assembly.
AUGGCCUGGACUCCUCUGCUCCUCAUGCUCCUCUCUCACUGCACAGGGUCCCUCUCCCAGCCUGUGCUGACUCAGCCGCCCUCCCUCUCUGCAUCUCUGGGAGCCAAGGCCAGACUCACCUGCACCCUGAGCAUUGACGUCAGUGUUGGUGCGAAAAACAUAUACUGGUACCAGCAGAAGCCAGGGAGCCCUCCCCGGUACCUCCUGGCCUACAACUCAGACUCAAAUAAGCGCCAGGGCUCCGGGGUCCCCAGCCGCUUCUCUGGAUCCAAAGACGCCUCGGCCAAUGCGGGGAUCCUGCUCAUUUCGGGGCUGCAGCCUGAGGACGAGGCUGACUAUUACUGUGCUGUAUAUUAUAGCAGUGGGGGCAGCUACAGUUACCCACAGUGUCUCAGAUGA